AGCGAACGUUUGCGGCGGGCCUAACACAUGCAAGUCGAACGAGAUCUCGGGCUUCGGUCCGGGUGAAAGUGGCGCACGGGUGCGUAACACGUGGGUAAUCAACCCUUUGGAUCGGGACAACCCGGGGAAACUCGGGCUAAUACCGGAUACGUCGUCGGAGCUCUAGGGCUCUGACGGGAAAGGCCUGCAAGGGCUACCAGAGGACGAGCUCGUGGCCCAUCAGCUAGUUGGUGAGGUAAUGGCUCACCAAGGCGAAGACGGGUAGCUGGUCUGAGAGGAUGAUCAGCCACACUGGAACUGAGACACGGUCCAGACUCCUACGGGAGGCAGCAGUGGGGAAUAUUGCGCAAUGGGCGAAAGCCUGACGCAGCCACGCCGCGUGUGCGAUGAAGGUCUUCGGAUCGUAAAGCACUGUGGGGGGAGAAGAACAAAGCUGGUGAAGAGCCAGCCCUGACGGUAUCCCCUUAGCAAGCACCGGCUAACUCCGUGCCAGCAGCC
This 498-nucleotide ribosomal RNA is filed under the name uncultured bacterium. Its description in RNAcentral is "bacterial SSU rRNA". It matches the Rfam family "Bacterial small subunit ribosomal RNA", at positions 29 to 516 of the family's 1533-position model. The record is from RNAcentral.